This 253-nucleotide ribosomal RNA is filed under the name uncultured bacterium. RNAcentral's name for it is "partial 16S ribosomal RNA". It matches the Rfam family "Bacterial small subunit ribosomal RNA", at positions 524 to 776 of the family's 1533-position model. The record is from RNAcentral.
CACGUAGGGCGCAAGCGUUGUCCGGAAUUAUUGGGCGUAAAGAGCUCGUAGGCGGUCUGUUACGUCUGCUGUAAAAACCCGGGGCUUAACCCUGGGCUUGCAGUGGAUACGGGCAGACUAGAGGCAGGUAGGGGAGAAUGGAAUUCCCGGUGUAGCGGUGAAAUGCGCAGAUAUCGGGAGGAACACCGGUGGCGAAGGCGGUUCUCUGGGCAUGAUCUGACGCUGAGGAGCGAAAGUGUGGGGAGCGAACAGG